GUACUCACUUCGGCAGCACAUAUAAUAAAAUCAGAAUGGUACAGAGAUUAGCAUCGCUCCUGGGCAAGGGUGGCAUGCAAAUUUGAGAAGUGGUCCGCAUUUUU
RNAcentral lists this small nuclear RNA (104 nucleotides) under Catagonus wagneri (Chacoan peccary). The record is from RNAcentral. Lineage: Eukaryota; Metazoa; Chordata; Mammalia; Artiodactyla; Tayassuidae.